This is a long non-coding RNA of Trachemys scripta elegans, 447 nucleotides long. RefSeq lists it as uncharacterized. The record is from RefSeq and is a predicted model, not a curated record. NCBI's taxonomy places the organism in Eukaryota, Metazoa, Chordata, Testudines, Emydidae. The transcript is spliced from 3 exons.
GUGGGACGCGACGGCGGGGGUACAAAGCCGGAAGCGGCUCACGCGCGAGAGAGCGGCGGCUGCUCCAGCAUCCAGAGCAAGGGAGAGGCUAGAGCGGCGCGUGUCCCCCGCCGGGGCUCCGACAGCGCCCGGCCCGGGCUCGGCGCGACAGGCGGCCCGUCCUCCCCGGGCCCACGGAACGGGUAAGAGGGAGCCCAGACCCACUUCCUGAGCUCUGAGACUGUUCAAUCAAGUCUUUCAGGGAUUCCCCUGGAGGAAUUUCAUAAGCCGGGGGGGGAAAAAGUGACGUUGGGAAGAAAUGUGAAGCAGACAAAGUUUAAAUUCUUCCGACUUACCUGAAGUAACAGAAUAUGAUGAUAAGUACCAGGAGUAUACUGCAAACGGUCACUGAGAUCAGCAAGGCCUUAUGGUGAAUGUUUCCUUCAACAAAAUCUGGUUUAAAGAUUA